GAGAUUGGAUAUAAAAAAUUGUAGAUAUACGUAUGUAAAUAUAUAUGUGCAAGUAUGUAGGCGGAUUCUCUAAGUACGACAUACAAAAAAGGGGACAUAUUCAAAUUAUGCGACCGGAUGAAUCAUGUCUCAAAGACUUUUCGCCGACAAUUCUACAAAAGCUAAAUAAAAAAAUAAAUAAUAAAAAUUAUAUAAAUUGAGUUGAAGUAAAAAAUAGAGAAAAAGUUCUGAAAUUUCGCACAUUUGUACGACGAUAUGAUACGCUUCAGCAACGUGUUAAGCAGAAAUGAAAAUAAAAUACAACAACAACAACUAAUACAAAAUAAGCAGCCGUCAUAUCCGGCAGAUUCAUACAGCUGUCUGUCUGUCGGUCGGUGUUCAAAUUGUCAAACCACAAAGCAAAUACAUUCUGCAGCCAACACAGAUUCCAAUUGAAGCAUUUAGAGACUCACUCACUCAAAUCUGCGGCUGUGGAGCUGUUUACGUUUGAAGAAGAAGCAUCACGCGUUGGCAUAUCAAUUACAAGCCACACUCAGUUCCACGCCAAAAAAGGAAGAAAUUACUUCAUUAUUUGCUGACUGCAAAGCUUUGACACUUGCGCUCUGCUAGCUCCUACUGGGUUUUUUAUAUUUAUUUUUAUUUUUUUUAUUUUUUUGUUGUUUUUUAUAAU
RNA transcript from Ceratitis capitata (Mediterranean fruit fly), 670 nucleotides. RefSeq lists it as uncharacterized. The record is from RefSeq and is a predicted model, not a curated record. The transcript has 3 exons. NCBI's taxonomy places the organism in Eukaryota, Metazoa, Arthropoda, Insecta, Diptera, Tephritidae.